RNAcentral lists this small nuclear RNA (296 nucleotides) under Dasypus novemcinctus (nine-banded armadillo). RNAcentral describes it as "7SK RNA (ENSDNOG00000029619.2)". Lineage: Eukaryota; Metazoa; Chordata; Mammalia; Cingulata; Dasypodidae. The record is from RNAcentral.
UGAUAGGAAGUUGAUGAGGCUGUAACAUCUGUUACCGACUCGACUGCCAAGGUCAGGUUGGCUGACCUGUUAAAGGGCGACCUCUUCUUCCUUCACCUUAUCUGGGUGAGCCCUUCCUGAAACUGAGGUCCUUCAGCCAAAGAGCCGACCUUCUCAGCCGGGGGGCAGGUGGCAGGUGGAGGAAUGACUGUGCUGCUUUGGCAGAAGAGCCAAAGAAUUCCUCAGAGAAUUUAUCUGUUUUGCCUAAAGUUAUAUAACAAGAUAGCCACGGAGGUGGACUUGUCAUUGUGGGUUGU